Molecule: long non-coding RNA, 414 nt
Filed under: Ricinus communis (castor bean)
Lineage: Eukaryota; Viridiplantae; Streptophyta; Magnoliopsida; Malpighiales; Euphorbiaceae
Description: long non-coding RNA (RCOM_LNC000138)
Source: RNAcentral
UCUCGUACAUAAGAAGUUAAAAGAAUAAUGGAAAAAAAUACAUGCCUACUACAUUAUUAAAUGUACUUGUAUAUUUAUACACCAAGCCCGUAGGAGAAUAGCAGACGUUUGUUGAUAAUAAAAUAAUUAAAUAUGAGUCAAUCAUAAAAAGAACUCAAAUCACAUGCGGUUAUUUACCUAUUUGUUCUGCUGUGUACAUUCGUAGUAGGGAAGUCUUACCAUACAAAAUUAUUGCUGUAACUAUACCAAUCAAAAGGAGGCAGAAGCAAAUGUAUUCCCAAACUCUUUUAGAAAAGAGAUGAUUCCAUUGAAAAAGGGAAGCAUAAAUGGUUUCCUUUCUUUCACUGUGUAAUAGAAUCCAUUCCCGGUCUCAUGCCCAACAACAACAAUAAAAGGUGAUUGGAUAUAUAUGGG